This 332-nucleotide ribosomal RNA is filed under the name uncultured fungus. Its description in RNAcentral is "eukaryotic LSU rRNA". The record is from RNAcentral. Lineage: Eukaryota; Fungi.
AACGCACCUUGCGCUCCUUGGUAUUCCGAGGAGCAUGCCCGUUUGAGCGUCUUGAUAUCAUCAAACGCACCCGCCUUUUCGGCGGGCUUGCGAUUGGACUUGGACGUGCUGCCGGACGCUUUGCGAUCGGCUCGUCUUGAAUGCAUUAGCGGGAUCCAGUCGGCCUCGGACCCACGGCUCUCACUCGGCGUGAUAAGAUCACCCGUCGAGUCGUCCCCGGCCCGCGUUUGCGGAUCCGCUUCCAACCGUCCCACCGCGGACAACACGGAGCAACGGCCCUGCCGCCUUCGACGUCUGACCUCAAAUCGGGUAGGACUACCCGCUGAACUUAA